Molecule: long non-coding RNA, 1996 nt
Filed under: Leptinotarsa decemlineata (Colorado potato beetle)
Lineage: Eukaryota; Metazoa; Arthropoda; Insecta; Coleoptera; Chrysomelidae
Description: uncharacterized LOC111515654
Source: RNAcentral
UUUUGUGUUUUAUUAAAUUAAUAUAUCUUUCAGUGUUUGGACAAAAAAUAUUCUAUAUACUAACGAAGCCUAGUUUCUGACCUACGUACCAAUUGAAUAUACCAAAAAUUUAUUAUAAUUCAGCUCUAUGAUCUGAAAAAUGAUUUUGCAAUAAUACAAUACAAUAAAACAUAUCACGAUAGUUGGAACAAAAAUACAAAUCUAGACUAAGUAUAUACAAUUUACAAAAACAAUUUCAUGAGGUUUGUUAUUAUAAAUUCAAUCUAACUCAAAGGUACUAUUGGUGGGCAGAUAUUAAUCAAUCCACAACACACAGUCACUAUUUUAUCCAAAAUCGUAUCAUCUUCAUCACAAGGCUAAAUGCGCCUAUAGGGAAGCAAAGGCCAAAAACUUUGAGUGAAGUGAAGUGAAUCUUCAUCACAAACAAGCAGAGAAAUUGGCACAAUAUGAUUGAAUCCUAUAUUUUUGACGAAUGCAACCUAUUACUCUUUUAACAUGAAUCCUGACAUGUGCAAUGGCUCUAGUUCCUUCAAAUUUCUAAUUCAAUUGGAUGCAACUGCUUCUUUCCUUUAGUAAAAGCAAAAAUUCGCUAGGUAUUUUGUCGAAGUUCACUGAUCACGAUCCUCACAGCUUCCGCAAUUUACAACACAACACGUUAUAGGCAUGAUUUUAUGUUAUAAAGGACGAUUGAUAUGUAAAAUCAGCCUCAGACAACGAAUUUAAGCAAGCAGUAACACAAUCACCCACAAAGACAAGUUGAUUAUGAACUUUUUCUAGUUUUCUUUCCAUUAGAAUAAACAUGUGUGCCUACAGGCGGCCAUUUUGAUUUAAUUUUGACAGCAUCUCGGACAGGUCUAUUGCGCGUGGUCCAACUUCAAAAAAUUUUACAUGGAGACCUCAUGGAGGUUUGAAUUCAAUAUGGAACUACACAAGUACAUAAUGAAUGUUAGUUUUUAAACAUCUUGAUCUAGAUACCUUCAUGAUUUCUAAAUGUAUCAAUGUCAGAACAUCAUUGAAAUUCCCUAUUAUAAUUUUUUUAUAUUGAAAUGAAACUAGUGAAUUUUCUAUUGACGUAGAUCAAUUCAGGUAAACUUAACGUCACAGCUGUCAACAAAUUCCGCUCCCACUCCACAUCUAACCUAAAACUUAAUCAACGUUCAUUCAUUUAAUUCAGUUACCUGAGAUAAUGAUUAAAAUUAAUAUAAAUUCAUAGUAAUUUAAGGAAGCUUCAUAUUCCAAACUAAACGCGGACAAGCUUCUAUUCCAGUAGUAAUAAUCACUUUGUAAUCUGAAGUAACAAUGGCAAAUAUUAUAAAAUUAUCUGAAAUCAAUGAUUAUUUUCGUGACGAUUUGAAAUGCAUACAAAGAGGUGAAGAACAGAGUCUUUCGUCUGGACAUUUAGAAAUGUGCAAUUUUGAUGCAGGAUUGAAAAUCAUUAAGGGAAAAGUGAAAGCAAGCAUGAGGAACUAGAGCUAUGAUAUUGAGGAAGCUGUGACUUGGAAAGGGUGAAACAAAUUCAAUGGGGUCGCCGAGCGAAAUUAAUGGGAUUCAAUCUUUUGAAAAACUAACAGAAACAAAGGUCGUGCUAACAGGACUAUGGCUACAUCCUUGUGGAUUUUUGGGGGCUUCUCCAGAUGGACUACUUUUUUCAGAUGGAAUAAUUGAAGUCAAGUGUCCAUAUACCUUGAGGAACUGCACCUUGGCAGAUAAUUUGAAGAAAAGUGACAUUUUAUUCAGUGAAAAUGGUGAAUAUAUUGUCAAUAAAGAUAAUAAUUAUUAUGAUCAAAUUCAGGGGUAGCUACACAUUACUGAAAGAGACUAUUGUUACCUAGUUUUAUGGACCACUGCUGAUAUUGCCAUCAAGAAAAUUGAAAAGGAUAACAGUUGGGAAAAAAUAUCAUAUACUGAAAGAGUUUUAUUUGAAUGAAUAUCUCACUUAUAUAAGCUCAUGUUGUAUUGUAUUUAUUAUUUUUUAAUAUAUGCAAAUGAAUUUUGA